AGUCGAACGAUGAUGCCCAGCUUGCUGGGUGGAUUAGUGGCGAACGGGUGAGUAACACGUGAGUAACCUGCCCCUGACUCUGGGAUAAGCGUUGGAAACGACGUCUAAUACUGGAUAUGAUCACUGGCCGCAUGGUCUGGUGGUGGAAAGAUUUUUUGGUUGGGGAUGGACUCGCGGCCUAUCAGCUUGUUGGUGAGGUAAUGGCUCACCAAGGCGACGACGGGUAGCCGGCCUGAGAGGGUGACCGGCCACACUGGGACUGAGACACGGCCCAGACUCCUACGGGAGGCAGCAGUGGGGAAUAUUGCACAAUGGGCGAAAGCCUGAUGCAGCAACGCCGCGUGAGGGAUGACGGCCUUCGGGUUGUAAACCUCUUUUAGUAGGGAAGAAGCGAAAGUGACGGUACCUGCAGAAAAAGCACCGGCUAACUACGUGCCAGCAGCCGCGGUAAUACGUAGGGUGCAAGCGUUGUCCGGAAUUAUUGGGCGUAAAGAGCUCGUAGGCGGUUUGUCGCGUCUGCUGUGAAAUCCCGAGGCUCAACCUCGGGCUUGCAGUGGGUACGGGCAGACUAGAGUGCGGUAGGGGAGAUUGGAAUUCCUGGUGUAGCGGUGGAAUGCGCAGAUAUCAGGAGGAACACCGAUGGCGAAGGCAGAUCUCUGGGCCGUAACUGACGCUGAGGAGCGAAAGCAUGGGGAGCGAACAGGAUUAGAUACCCUGGUAGUCCAUGCCG
RNAcentral lists this ribosomal RNA (730 nucleotides) under Curtobacterium sp. RNAcentral's name for it is "bacterial SSU rRNA". It matches the Rfam family "Bacterial small subunit ribosomal RNA", at positions 60 to 802 of the family's 1533-position model. Lineage: Bacteria; Bacillati; Actinomycetota; Actinomycetes; Micrococcales; Microbacteriaceae. The record is from RNAcentral.